RNAcentral lists this ribosomal RNA (303 nucleotides) under uncultured bacterium. RNAcentral describes it as "partial 16S ribosomal RNA". It matches the Rfam family "Bacterial small subunit ribosomal RNA", at positions 507 to 807 of the family's 1533-position model. The record is from RNAcentral.
AGCAGUCGCCGCGGUAAUACGUAGGUGGCAAGCGUUGUCCAGAAUUAUUGGGCGUAAAGGGCUCGCAGGCGGUUUCUUAAGUCUGAUGUGAAAGCCCCCGGCUCAACCGGGGAGGGUCAUUGGAAACUGGGAAACUUGAGUGCAGAAGAGGAGAGUGGAAUUCCACGUGUAGCGGUGAAAUGCGUAGAGAUGUGGAGGAACACCAGUGGCGAAGGCGACUCUCUGGUCUGUAACUGACGCUGAGGAGCGAAAGCGUGGGGAGCGAACAGGAUUAGAUACCCGUGUAGUCCCUGUCUCUUAUAC